GCCAAGUAGUGUUGCCUUUAGAUGUUGUUCAUAUACUUAUCAAAGUCAUUUUCCCCCGAGCUUUCAAUCAGAUAGCCCUGUGCUGAGCAAACAGGAGGAGACACUCCUUAAGUCCUCAAUUACAUUUCUUUUCUCCUCUUCAAUUCCAGCACAGACAAGAGGUGAUAAUACCGAAUCUUUCAAAUAUUUGAUAUACAAAGAGAAGAGCUUGUUAAAACGAGACCAAUUAAUGCAUUUUUAAUCCAUAUUUAAACACAUGCAAAGAUCCUGAAUACUAAUGCUGUCAUUUAAAUUCCAGGCGGGGAGGGCUGGCGCACGAGGCUGCAUAUCUUUCAAUCUCUGCUAUCCUGCCUUGUUUGAAUCAGGCAAGGUCGACUAGGCACUGCUGCUUAUAAUAAAAAGGCACUUCCAAAUGCUGCUGACUCUUUUCAUGCAUCCACACGGUGGUUUUAUGGAGGGAGGGGCUUAUGAAAAACUGAAGGAACUCAGCUCCUAUGGAAAUCCCAGCUUCAGCCUCAUCAGCAUGGCAGACACCCCACCAAAACUACCAGUCUGCUGAGACAACCACCACAUCCCUUUUUUGCGUGCUGCUUGUCACCAGGAUCCUAACAAGACCCUAUUGAUGAGCACCGCCAGCAUCGCUACAGCAUCUGCAAGCGGAGAGCCAGCUCGCUGCAUCUGCAUGGGGAGCCGACAGCGCGCUCACUGCAGCAGCCUCCGGCACCGCGCCUGGCCAGGGUGAUUUAUUUGCUGCCGGUGGCUGGAUUAAACUGUUCUUUCCCUUUUGUUUUC
Anas platyrhynchos (mallard) is the source of this 792-nucleotide long non-coding RNA. RefSeq lists it as uncharacterized. The record is from RefSeq and is a predicted model, not a curated record. Lineage: Eukaryota; Metazoa; Chordata; Aves; Anseriformes; Anatidae.